GUCACAUUACAUUGAAACACUGGUUCCCAUACAAUCACCAAAGUUAAGCAACCUCAAGCCUGGUCAAUACCUAGAUGGGUGACUGCUUGGAAAUACCAGCUGCUGUAAG
This is a non-coding RNA of Acanthosepion pharaonis, 109 nucleotides long. The record is from the annotation of a GenBank genome assembly. Lineage: Eukaryota; Metazoa; Mollusca; Cephalopoda; Sepiida; Sepiidae.